Molecule: ribosomal RNA, 496 nt
Filed under: uncultured bacterium
Lineage: Bacteria
Description: partial 16S ribosomal RNA
Rfam family: Bacterial small subunit ribosomal RNA
Source: RNAcentral
GAUGAACGCUGGCGGCGUGCCUAAUACAUGCAAGUCGAGCGAACAGACGAGGAGCUUGCUCCUCUGACGUUAGCGGCGGACGGGUGAGUAACACGUGGAUAACCUACCUAUAAGACUGGGAUAACUUCGGGAAACCGGAGCUAAUACCGGAUAACAUGUUGAACCGCAUGGUUCAACAGUGAAAGACGGUCUUGCUGUCACUUAUAGAUGGAUCCGCGCCGCAUUAGCUAGUUGGUAAGGUAACGGCUUACCAAGGCAACGAUGCGUAGCCGACCUGAGAGGGUGAUCGGCCACACUGGAACUGAGACACGGUCCAGACUCCUACGGGAGGCAGCAGUAGGGAAUCUUCCGCAAUGGGCGAAAGCCUGACGGAGCAACGCCGCGUGAGUGAAGAAGGUCUUCGGAUCGUAAAACUCUGUUAUUAGGGAAGAACAAAUGUGUAAGUAACUAUGCACGUCUUGACGGUACCUAUCAGAAAGCCACGGCUAACUACGUG